UAGCAGCACGUAAAUAU
This 17-nucleotide microRNA is filed under the name Chiloscyllium plagiosum (whitespotted bambooshark). RNAcentral describes it as "microRNA cpl-miR-16-5p". Lineage: Eukaryota; Metazoa; Chordata; Chondrichthyes; Orectolobiformes; Hemiscylliidae. The record is from RNAcentral.